RNAcentral lists this ribosomal RNA (253 nucleotides) under uncultured bacterium. Its description in RNAcentral is "partial 16S ribosomal RNA". It matches the Rfam family "Bacterial small subunit ribosomal RNA", at positions 524 to 776 of the family's 1533-position model. The record is from RNAcentral.
UACGGAGGGUGCAAGCGUUAUCCGGAUUCACUGGGUUUAAAGGGUGCGUAGGUGGGCAGGUAAGUCAGUGGUGAAAUCUCCGGGCUCAACCCGGAAACUGCCAUUGAUACUAUCAGUCUUGAAUAUCGUGGAGGUAAGCGGAAUAUGUCAUGUAGCGGUGAAAUGCUUAGAUAUGACAUAGAACACCAAUUGCGAAGGCAGCUUACUACCCGAAUAUUGACACUGAGGCACGAAAGCAUGGGGAGCGAACAGG